UUUUCUAGGUUCUACUCUCACUCUCAUUCUU
Molecule: small RNA, 31 nt
Filed under: Arabidopsis thaliana (thale cress)
Lineage: Eukaryota; Viridiplantae; Streptophyta; Magnoliopsida; Brassicales; Brassicaceae
Description: ATSL241460
Source: RNAcentral